CAAGCCCUGGUUUAUUCACAUCCAUCCAGUAUUUAAGCCACAUUAUCACAGAUGCCAGAGCAAUACAGACUGUGACAUUACAAUAACUGGACGAGAACAUCAGCGCAAGGAUGAAGUCAAUACAGGCAAUGUUACUGAUGCUUUUUGUUGCAUCUGUCUUUUCAAAACCAUUUCCUUUGCGCAGAGGAUUUGAUUCAUCAGACUCAAGAUCCAGUUCCAGCGAGGAUUCAAACUCUGAAUCUGAAUCAAAUGAGUCUAAAUCAAGGGAAUCUGAUUCUUCUGAGGAAGUUAUUGUGCCACGCACAAUCCCUCCAACUAGAAGAACAACAAAUCCGCCGACCACUGUCAGCACAACAGGACCCACA
Rhinichthys klamathensis goyatoka is the source of this 365-nucleotide long non-coding RNA. RefSeq lists it as uncharacterized. The transcript is spliced from 3 exons. NCBI's taxonomy places the organism in Eukaryota, Metazoa, Chordata, Actinopteri, Cypriniformes, Leuciscidae. The record is from RefSeq and is a predicted model, not a curated record.